CAGUAGCCGCGGGAAAACGAAGGGGGCUAGCGUUGUUCGGAUUUACUGGGCGUAAAGGGUGCGUAGGCGGAUUGUUAAGUCAGGGGUGAAAUCCCGAGGCUCAACCUCGGAACUGCCUUUGAUACUGGCGAUCUUGAGUCCGGGAGAGGUGAGUGGAACUGCGAGUGUAGAGGUGAAAUUCGUAGAUAUUCGCAAGAACACCGGUGGCGAAGGCGGCUCACUGGCCCGGUACUGACGCUGAGGCACGAAAGCGUGGGGAGCAAACAGGAUUAGAGACCCGGGUAGUCCCUGUCUCUUAUAU
This 301-nucleotide ribosomal RNA is filed under the name uncultured bacterium. RNAcentral's name for it is "partial 16S ribosomal RNA". It matches the Rfam family "Bacterial small subunit ribosomal RNA", at positions 509 to 809 of the family's 1533-position model. The record is from RNAcentral.